CCUACGGGAGACAGCAGUGGGGAAUAUUGGGCAAUGGGCGCAAGCCUGACCCAGCAACGCCGCGUGAAGGAAGAAGGCUUUCGGGUUGUAAACUUCUUUUAAGAGGGAAGAGAAGAAGACGGUACCUCUUGAAUAAGCCACGGCUAACUACGUGCCAGCAGCAGCGGUAAUACGUAGGGGGCAAGCGUUGUCCGGAUUUACUGGGUGUAAAGGGCGUGCAGCCGAGAAGACAAGUCAGAUGUGAAAGCCCGCGGCUCAACCGCGGAACUGCAUUUGAAACUGUUUUUCUUGAGUACCGGAGAGGUCAUCGGAAUUCCUUGUGUAGCGGUGAAAUGCGUAGAUAUAAGGAAGAACACCAGUGGCGAAGGCGGAUGACUGGACGGCAACUGACGGUGAGGCGCGAAAGCGUGGGGAGCAAACAGGAUUAGAUACCCGUGUAGUC
RNAcentral lists this ribosomal RNA (442 nucleotides) under uncultured bacterium. RNAcentral's name for it is "partial 16S ribosomal RNA". It matches the Rfam family "Bacterial small subunit ribosomal RNA", at positions 338 to 795 of the family's 1533-position model. The record is from RNAcentral.